UUAAUUGACCAUAUCACGUAGAAAGCACCGGUUCUCUUCCAAUCACAGAAGUUAAACUACGUUGGGCCGGGCCAAUACUUGCAUGGGAAUACCCGGUGUUGCUGACU
RNAcentral lists this ribosomal RNA (107 nucleotides) under Rodentolepis nana. The record is from RNAcentral. Lineage: Eukaryota; Metazoa; Platyhelminthes; Cestoda; Cyclophyllidea; Hymenolepididae.